Molecule: small RNA, 4489 nt
Filed under: Arabidopsis thaliana (thale cress)
Lineage: Eukaryota; Viridiplantae; Streptophyta; Magnoliopsida; Brassicales; Brassicaceae
Description: ATSL203270
Rfam family: MIR854 microRNA precursor family (bases 4216-4436)
Source: RNAcentral
GAAACUGAAUUUAAAUUCGAUGAGGACUGCCUCAAAUCCUUUCAAACCAUCAAGGAUGCUUUGGUAUCUGCUCCGGUUGUUCGAGCGCCUAAUUGGGACUAACCAUUUGAGAUCAUGUGUGAUGCAUCAGAUUACGCAGUAGGAGCUGUUUUAGGCCAGAAAAUAGACAAGAAGCUUCAUGUCAUAUAUUACGCCAGCCGAACGUUGGAUGACGCUCAGGGAAGAUAUGCAACAACUGAGAAGGAGCUUUUAGCUGUUGUAUUCGCAUUUGAGAAGUUCAGAAGCUAUUUGGUUAGAUCAAAGGUAACUGUCUAUACAGACCAUGCAGCUUUGAGGCAUCUGUAUGCCAAGAAGGAUACUAAACCAAGACUGUUGAGAUGGAUACUUUUAUUGCAAGAGUUUAACAUGGAGAUAGUAGAUAAGAAAGGCAUUGAAAAUGGUACAGUUAACCAUCUGUCAAGGAUGAGAAUUGAAGAACCCCUUUCGAUAGACGAUUCAAUGCCAGAAGAGCAGCUCAUGGUUGUAGAGUUCUUCGGAAGGAGCUACAAUGGGAAAGAGUUCCACCAACUGAAUGCUGUUGAAGGAGAAUCUCCAUGGUAUGCUGAUCACGUCAAUUACUUGGCGUGCGGAGUAGAGCCUCCCAUCCUGACAAGUUAUGAAAGGAAGAAGUUUUUUAGAGACAUACACCAUUACUACUGGGAUGAGCCUUAUCUUUACACUCUCUGUAAAGAUAAGAUCUACAGGAGAAGUGUCUCAGAAGAUGAUGUGGAAGGUAUCCUGCUGCAUUGCCAUGUCUCAGCAUAUGGUGGUCACUUCGCGACGUUCAAGACAGUGUCCAAGAUUCUUCAAGCAGGCUUUUGGUGGCCAACAAUGUUUAAGGACGCUCAGGAGUUUGUUUCAAAGUGUGAUUCAUGCCAGAGAAAAGGCAACAUCAACAGAAGAAAUGAGAUGCCUCAGAAUCCAAUCUUGGAAGUUGAGAUCUUUGAUGUAUGGGGGAUUGAUUUUAUGGGUCCAUUCCCAUCUUCAUACGGUAAUAAAUAUAUAUUGGUCGCCGUAGACUACGUAUCAAAGUGGGUCGAAGCUAUUGCUAGUCUUACCAACGAUGCAAAAGUUGUGCUGAAGUUGUUCAAGACCAUAAUCAUCCCAAGAUUUGGAGUUCCCAGGGUAGUAAUCAGUGAUGGCGGGAAGCAUUUCAUCAACAAGGUUUUUGAGAACCUCUUGAAGAAGCAUGGAGUAAAGCACAAGGUCGCCACUCCCUAUCAUCCACAGACAAGCGGGCAGGUUGAGAUCUCCAAUAGGGAGAUAAAAACAAUUCUGGAAAAGACUGUUGGGAUUACAAGGAAAGACUGGUCUGCAAAGCCAGAUGAUGCAUUAUGGGCUUACAGGACAGCCUUCAAGACCCCCAUUGGUACAACUCCUUUCAAUCUUCUCUAUGGAAAAUCAUGUCAUCUACCUGUUGAGCUCGAGUACAAAGCAAUGUGGGCGGUAAAACUUCUGAACUUUGACAUAAAAACUGCUGAGGAGAAGCGAUUGAUCCAACUCAGUGACCUCGAUGAGAUCCAUCUAGAAGCUUAUGAGAGUUCUACAAUCUACAAGGAGAGAACCAAGCUUUUCCAUGACAAGAAGAUCAUCACUAAGGAUUUCCAGGUUGGUGAUCAGGUGCUGCUAUUCAACUCUCGCUUGAAACUCUUUCCAGGAAAACUUAAAUCCAGAUGGUCUGGCCCCUUCUGUAUCACUGAGGUCCGUCCUUAUGGAGCAUUCGCUCUAGCUAGUAAGAGUGGAGAUUUUACAGUAAAUGGUCAAAGGCUCAAGAAAUACUUAGCAGACCAAAUCCUUCCAGAGGUGACAUCGGUUCAUCUCCAGGAACCUCUUGAUGAUUAAAGGAGUAAAGGAGUCAAGCUAUGACUUUAAACAAGCUCACUUGGGAGGAAGUUCCAUGACUAUCUCUGUAAAUAAAUUUUUUUAUUUUCUUGUUAUUUUUGAUUUGUCUUGGUUGUGUUUGUGGUUCUCAGGAACGAAGGAACAAUGUGGUGAUUGAGUAAAAAUUCAAAACUUUUACUCUACAGAAGACCUGGAGAUCGAGGGUAUAGCCCGUUGGAGUACAAAAUUUUGAAAAUCAUCUGUUGCACCUGGAGACCUUGCACUCGAGUACAUUGGUCGAGUAUGUGUGAUGUUUAAAACCCAAAAACUUUUAAAUCAUCAUUUUACUCGACCAACAGAAGCUACAGAGUCUUACAGGGAGUUUAUCAAAUUUUAAGUAGAUUUCCUGCAGUUUUCCAGUCAACAGAGUGUGGACCACACGCUGAGGAUAAGAUGGAGAGAGAAUCUCAAACUCAAUCUCAGCCAUUCCUUUCACUCGACCUUAUUCUCUCCUGUUCUCCACCACUCGACCUAAACAAUCAACUCGACCUCAUAAGCCCUAGUCGUACUCGACCUCCGCCGCGUCCACACAGUUCAACAAUUCACUCGACCUCCGAGGACCACUCGACCUAGGAACCGCCGUCACCAGUUCAUUUCCUCCUUCACUCGACCGGACCUCUACACUCGACUCCGUUGUGAUACUCGACCAAUUCAUCCACAUCAAACGCCGCCUCAGCCGAUUUCAACAACUCACUCGACCGCCGUGAAUCACUCGACUUUUCCAGCGCCGCCGCAAUCGAGUAUCCUCCUCGUUCACCGUCGAAUUCUCAGGGUUCAAGAUUUCACUCGACCUCGAGUUUUAACUCGACCUGAAGCACUAUAAUAGAGAUUACUCGACCUCAAGACUUCACCGGCUGAACUCAACAUCCACAAUUCACUCGACCUCCAGGAACAGCUCAAGUUACUCGAGUACAGAAUUGUACUCGAUCAAUUCAAUCUAUUUCAUUGCCUAUUGAUAACAAUUUUGGUUUCAUUGCUAUCCUUAGAGACUAACCUAUUGACAUUUGAGCUUUGAGUUCUAAAUUUCUACAGGAGAAUCAUGAGCAAUUACAGUGGCAGCUCUUCUGUUGAUCCUGACUACAACAUGGAUGAGACAGAGUCGUCAUCUUCAAGGCCAGAGAGAGAACAUAGAGAAUAUGAAAGCUUCAGAAGGAAAGCUGAGAUAGCCCGAUGGAAGAGAGCGAUGACAGAGAGGUAUGAGCUUAUAGACGAAGAUCUGGGAGACGAGUACAUGCCUGAACAGACUCGCAGAUCUACCAAACUUCUGCACAAGCUCGAUGUAUUGCCUGCUGAGGAAUAUGGUAGGCUUUUCAAGCUGAAUGAGUUAUGUAGCACGAGGUAUCCUUGCUCGACCUCACUUGCACAACUCGGAUUGUUGGAAGAUGUUCAACACCUGUACCAGAGUUGUCAUCUGGACACUCUGAUGGCUUAUCCGUAUGCAGCGUAUGAAGAUGAGACAGUACAAUUCCUCUCCACGCUGCAAGUAGAGCUCUACCAAGGUAUGACCUCUGAUGAGUUAGAUUGUGAAGGAUUGGGAUUCUUGCGAUUCUCUGUGUAUGGUCAUGCGUAUAGGUUAUCAAUCAAGCGCUUGGAAGGAUUGUUUGGCUUCCCCAGUGGAACGGGAUCUAAGCCCAAGUAUGACAGAGAAGAGUUGAAAGACUUGUGGAUCACCAUUGGCAGCUCUGUACCGCUGAAUUCUUCCAGGUCAAAGAGCAAUUAGAUACGCAGCCCUGUCAUCAGGUACUUCCAGCGUUCUAUAGCCAAUGUACUCUACUCCCGAGAGAUUACAGGGACUGUUACUAACUCUGAUAUGGAGAUGAUUGCAAUGGCCCUCAAGGGAACUCUUCGCCAAACUAAGAAUGGUAUGUCUCUCCAAUGUGAAGUCAAUGACACACCUCUCUCUGUACUUUCCAUCUAUGUGGAUACAAGAGCUGGGCUGUCAACAAUAACCACAAGAGAGCACGAGGCGCUCUGUGCAUAGGUGGUGUUGUGACACCGAUUCUGAUAGCUUGUGGAGUCCCAAUCAUUUCUGCUGGACUCGAGCCGCGAGCAAUGGAUAUCGAGCACCUACGUCACUACGAAUUCCUGGAGUUUGCAAUGGUUGACGACUUCCACAGGUUCAGGUUUGAGCACUCUACAGACAGGAGAGCUAGCAUAUUGAUUUUUGGCCUGAGGUUACACGGAUAAUAAAGGGAGAUAAUAUUGAUUUUCGGCCUGAGGUUGGACGCCUCUACUAUGAGAACGCUCCGCCAUUGGAUGAGGAUGAUCUUCUAGAAGAAGCUGCUUCGGAUGGGUUGGAUGAAGAUAGAGCAGUGGAGUUCGACACUAGCAUGUAUCACUUUGGUGAACAUGUACCUCCAGCGAGGCAGAGCAAGAGCUUGAUUGAAGCUCAUAAGAAUAACAGUAAAUUGCAGAAGUGGUGCAAGAAGCAGGACAAGCUGCUCGCCAAGUGUUUCAAGGCUAUCAAGCUUCUGACAGAUAAGCUGAGUUGUUCCUCCUCCACCACUGCUAUUCCACAGGGACAGCCUCCUCUGGAGAUGCCAUCGAGGAGAUUUGAUGACCUUCGCAC